Molecule: ribosomal RNA, 397 nt
Filed under: uncultured bacterium
Lineage: Bacteria
Description: partial 16S ribosomal RNA
Rfam family: Bacterial small subunit ribosomal RNA
Source: RNAcentral
AUACGUAGGUGACAAGCGUUAUCCGGAUUUACUGGGUGUAAAGGGCGUGUAGGCGGUUUAGCAAGUCAGAAGUGAAAUUCCCGGGCUUAACUUGGGCGCUGCUUCUGAAACUGCUUUACUUGAGUGCUGGAGAGGAUAGUGGAAUUCCUAGUGUAGCGGUAAAAUGCGCAGAUAUUAGGAGGAACACCGGUGGCGAAGGCGGCUAUCUGGACAGUAACUGACGCUGUGGCGCGAAAGCACGGGGAGCAAACAGGAUUAGAUACCCUGGUAGGCCGUGCCGUAAACGAUGAAUACUAGGUGUAGGGGGUAUCGACUCCCUCUGUGCCGCAGUUAACACAUUAAGUAUUCCGCCUGGGGAGUACGGCCGCAAGGUUGAAACUCAAAUGAAUUGACGGGG